Molecule: ribosomal RNA, 123 nt
Filed under: Nannospalax galili (Upper Galilee mountains blind mole rat)
Lineage: Eukaryota; Metazoa; Chordata; Mammalia; Rodentia; Spalacidae
Source: RNAcentral
GUGUACAGUCAUACCACCCUAAAAGCACUUAAUCUCAUCUGAUUUUUGAAGCUAAACAGUGUUGAGACAGAUUAUCAGUGAGAUAGGAAAAUUACAUGAUUCAAUCAGGUAAAGCAGGACAUA